GCAGCAUGGAGCCCGGCCGCCGCAGCACCUCUGCUCCGCGAUCCGUGGGCAUCCUCUUCACUGUGUCCAUUGGAUGUUUGCCUCCCAGACUGAGGGGGAGCUCAGAAUGACCCAAAUUCUCAAAAGAAAAGUUUCCUCGAGCUACAGCUAUCAAAGUCACUGACAUUUCAAGAGGUUGUGGGGUCAUGUAUGAAAUUAAAAUUGAAUCAGAAGAAGUUAAGGAGGAGAGAACUAUUCAGCAGCACCAAAUAGUGAAUCAGUCACUACAAGAAGAAAUCAAAGUGAUGCAUGGAUUGCGGAUAUUUACCUCUGUCCCCAAACGC
This 323-nucleotide long non-coding RNA is filed under the name Homo sapiens (human). RNAcentral describes it as "non-protein coding lnc-OR1M1-1:1". The record is from RNAcentral. Lineage: Eukaryota; Metazoa; Chordata; Mammalia; Primates; Hominidae.